UCGGAAAUGCUGUAACCAGUGGGAGGAGGGCGGGAGAGAGAACCACAGACCUGACUAGAAAAACUCCUUGACUUAACACAUCACCCUACCGGAGCCGCCAAGGGAAAGAGGCAGAGAAAGAAAAGGAGCGAGGGGAAUGGCAGAACAGGGAAGGACAGGAAAAGCGAGAGGAGGGUGAAGGAGGUGGCUUGCAUCCGUCUAGAUCAUCUCCCCAGGUCGCUGCAGGUUUCUCCUUGGAGCCGGACAGACAGCAGCAUCACAAAGACCCCAGCAAGGUCCCUGAUCGCUUCCACGGGCUGGGCUCCCCAGCUCCAGAUAUGCUGAGUUCUGGGAGCUGGGGCUGAGUUGUCAGCAGGACUCGGUGCAGCUGACCCAUGUGUGCCCACAAUCCCGGGGAAUAGGCCACGGCCAGCUCUGCAGACGGCUACAGAAACGCCAUGGAGGAAACCACCAGUACGGAUGUGAGUGGAGGUCUCUCCCCCAUCGCUGGAGCACGGGACGCGGUGCCUGAAGUGACUUCAACACAAAGUUCGAGUUUAAAUGUGGUGUCGGUGAUUCAGCAGCGUCAGAAUUUGAGAAUCCUCCUGUCCCCACUCCUGUUCAAUUAAGAAAACACACCCAAAUUCAUGAACUUUGUGGCCCGCUCCUUGACACCUCCUAUGUGCCAAUUUUUUGUCCCACACCAGGAUAUGCUCCAAGGGUUCAACACGGGAAUGUACCACACUGAGGCAACAGAGACCACGGAGGAUGGAAAGAGGGAGAAUGACCUUUUUAAAGAAUGGAAGUACACACAC
RNAcentral lists this long non-coding RNA (794 nucleotides) under Chrysemys picta bellii (western painted turtle). Its description in RNAcentral is "lncRNA (ENSCPBG00000007928.1)". The record is from RNAcentral. Lineage: Eukaryota; Metazoa; Chordata; Testudines; Emydidae.